AACGCACAUUGCGCCUUCCGGUAUUCCGGGAGGCAUGCCUGUCUGAGCGUCAGUAAAUACUCAUAUUGAGUCCGUAUACGUAUGUCUAUGGUCUCUUUGUGGUUGUGAGUUGUGAGAGCGUCAUGCUCUCUAACUUGAAAAUGAUUGGUGUUGUCACCUGGUACUUGUAGUGUGAUAGGUUAUUCCAACUCGCUAGAAGCCAGGUAUCGCGAUGCCUUACGGUAAAAACUGUACUCUUGACCUCAGAUCAGGUAGGGAUACCCGCUGAACUUAA
RNAcentral lists this unclassified non-coding RNA (274 nucleotides) under Scutellinia sp. RNAcentral describes it as "partial contains 5.8S ribosomal RNA, internal transcribed spacer 2, and large subunit ribosomal RNA". The stretch from base 1 to 52 matches the Rfam family "5.8S ribosomal RNA", at positions 103 to 154 of the family's 154-position model. The record is from RNAcentral. Lineage: Eukaryota; Fungi; Ascomycota; Pezizomycetes; Pezizales; Pyronemataceae.